This 495-nucleotide ribosomal RNA is filed under the name uncultured bacterium. RNAcentral's name for it is "partial 16S ribosomal RNA". It matches the Rfam family "Bacterial small subunit ribosomal RNA", at positions 28 to 507 of the family's 1533-position model. The record is from RNAcentral.
GAUGAACGCUGGCGGCGUGCCUAGUACAUGCAAGUAGAACGCUGAAGGAGGAGCUUGCUCUUCUGGAUGAGUUGCGAACGGGUGAGUAACGCGUAGGUAACCUGCCUGGUAGCGGGGGAUAACUAUUGGAAACGAUAGCUAAUACCGCAUGACAACAGUUAUUGCAUGAUAACUGUUUAAAAGGGGCAACUGCUCCACUACCAGAUGGACCUGCGUUGUAUUAGCUAGUUGGUGAGGUAACGGCUCACCAAGGCGACGAUACAUAGCCGACCUGAGAGGGUGAUCGGCCACACUGGGACUGAGACACGGCCCAGACUCCUACGGGAGGCAGCAGUAGGGAAUCUUCGGCAAUGGACGGAAGUCUGACCGAGCAACGCCGCGUGAGUGAAGAAGGUUGUCGGAUCGUAAAGCUCUGUUGUAAGAGAAGAACGAGUGUGAGAGUGGAAAGUUCACACUGUGACGGUAUCUUACCAGAAAGGGACGGCUAACUACGUG